Molecule: ribosomal RNA, 440 nt
Filed under: uncultured bacterium
Lineage: Bacteria
Description: partial 16S ribosomal RNA
Rfam family: Bacterial small subunit ribosomal RNA
Source: RNAcentral
CCUACGGGUGGCAGCAGUGGGGAAUAUUGCACAAUGGGGGAAACCCUGAUGCAGCAACGCCGCGUGAGUGAAGAAGUACUUCGGUAUGUAAAGCUCUAUCAGCAGGGAAGAGAAUGACGGUACCUGACUAAGUAGCCACGGCCAACACCGUGCCAGCAGCCGCGGUCAAACGUAGGGGGCGAGCGCGCUCCGGUUUUACUGGGUGUAAAGGGAGCGUGGAACGUUCUGCAAGUAUGAGGGUAAACCCCGGGGUUUAACCGCGGAUCGGCUUUGGAAACUGUGGAACUGGAGUGCUGGAGAGGCAAGCGGAAUUCCUUGUGUAGCGGUGAAAUGCGUAGAUAUUAGGAAGAACACCAGUGGCGAAGGCAGCUUACUGGACAGUAACUGACGUUGAGGCUCGAAAGCGUGGGGAGCAAACAGGAUUAGAUACCCUGGUAGUC